Molecule: non-coding RNA, 47 nt
Organism: Sus scrofa (pig)
Lineage: Eukaryota; Metazoa; Chordata; Mammalia; Artiodactyla; Suidae
Source: Rfam
ACAAAGGAUUUUUUAAAAUCCUUCUAACUAGUUCAGUUACAGUGUAU